UUAAUCACCACUACAUCUUCCAACCACUCUAAAGCAGUGGUUUACUAACUACCCAGGGCAUUAGUACAACAAGAAAGGUUUAUUUAAAACAUAUUGUUGGGGCGUUCUCUUGUGGCUCAGCAGGUUAAGGAUCCGUCAUUGUUGCUGUGGCUCAAGUCAAAGGUGUGGCAUGGGUUCAGUCCCUGGCCUCAAAAAUUCUGGGCCAAAAUAGAAAAAUAAUAAUAAUGAGUAAAACUUAUUGUUGGGACCACACUUUGUGAAAACCACUGCACCAUGACAAUCCUACACAAAGUAUGGUCCUCAGGUUGGUGGACACAUGCUGUCUGUGACCUUCUACAGGGCUGAGCCAGAAACUUAGUUCUGUUAAACUUUUACAGUAGUUGAACAUUACUGGGCAUAUAAACAUGUGAUCGUUUUUCUAACAUUUCAUUUUUAUUAUAGUUUAUAUAUUAUAAUUUCUAUAUUUUCCAAAAGUAUUGGGAUGACAUUUGGAAAAUUAUUUGGAAGUUUGGGAAGCACAGCUCUUCUGCAUGACUGACACACACACAGAGGCACACAGCUCUUCUGCAUGACUCUCACACACACACACACACAAACACACACACACACACACACACACACGCAGACCCCGGAGCACAGGGCCAAGGGCAGCUCCUGCCCACUGGGGGAAACAGGGCAGUCCUGGAGGAUAAUGGCAACCUGAGGGUGUUUCCUGCAACCCGAACACUAGAGUGAGAUACAAUUUCAAAACUGCAGUUUUCAUCGUUCCAUUGCUUCCAGGGACAACACAACACCGCAUCACUGGUGUAAGUGGCCCUCAUUCCAGCGGCUGAUGCAAAAAAGAAAAGAGACUCACACCGGUGAGAAACGGCAGAAAUCGGGUCAGCACUUUCCCCGCCCAAAGUCUGCGGCCUAGCUAACAAUUCAGCAGUGCCCUCAAACCAAAACACUUCCAGCUCUGCCCCACUGCCUGAAGAGUCAAGUCUUCAGAGCCUGGUGUACAUUCUUUUAACUAUUACUUUUGGUGGCAAAUCUUCAACUCUGAAGUCUUUCUGAGCAGAACGUGAAGAAUAAGGCAGGACUCAGAGUACAAAGGAGCUGAGCUGGAAAACCACUCCCAAGAGCAAGGUCCAACAGUGCCCAGAAGCUUCCCAGCACUCUGAAUGCUAAAGUAUUAUUCUAAGGCCCAGCCAGUGUGCCUGCCUUCCUUUAGGAAGUGCUCCUUCCUAAGAGCAUAUUAAGGCUCUUUUUCUGAAGCCUAAGAAAAAUCGGUCAAAAAAUCAAGAAAAUGGGAUUUCUCCUGUGAGAAUUGAUGUUUGGCAAUCAUCAGACAAGCAGUGCCGGUUUGAAGCAAUCUCUCGAUACCAAGUUAAAAGCAAGAGCAGGAAGUGCUGCCAGAUGGAGGCCAUGCUAAGGUUGACAUUUCUGGGAACUUGGACAGGAUGUGCAGGAGGAAAGUGGUCACAAAUGUCAUCAGUCUGCUCAUAGUUGCCCUAUUAUAAGUAUGUGCUCAUGGGGCCAGUCUGCUGCUAAUGGUAAAUCAUUUGCAAACAAAAUGAGUAUUACUAAGUUUGAAUACAUUAUAUAAACUCCAUGAGUGAUAUUCUAAGAAAUAAGAGUUGGAAGCAAAAUAAGUCCUUAAAUUAGCUAUGCCAACAUGUAAUCUGUGUAGUACUGUUAAAUUUACUAGGAUAUCCAAAUAUUACAUUAUUUGAAUACUGCUCAAUAAGGCUUACUGGUGUUUUCCAGGGUUUGAGUAUUCUCUAUAGACUUUCGUUUCUUAUAAAUAGUUUAUCAGAAAAAAAUGCAAAGAGAAUAAGAUGUAAAAACUGUCAGAGUUCUUUUACUAUGAGGUGUGUUAAGGAUCUGGCAUUGUCACUGAAGCAGCUUGAGUCACUGCUGUGGCUCAGGUUCAGUCCCUGUUCUGGGAACUUCCACAUGCCAUGGGUGCAGGCAAAAAAACUGUCAUAGAUUGAUUCAAAAUGGACUUAGAAAUAAAUCUCAAAUCUGAAUUAGCAAGAGAAAUAUUGAUUUCAAUAGCAAAAUCAAAAUAGGAAAAAGCAAAAAAUAUUUGUAUUGUUAAAAAAGGAAAUGAGUUGAAAUACAGCAAUAUGAACCUUGGUAUUCAACUUGAAGAUGAUUUUGGAUGCACUCUUAACAAUUCUACCAAUACCAAUGCAAAUUUAAAGAAAUGUCUCUACAUUCAAAAUGUUUGUCAGAAAAAGAGCUCAAAAUUGCUGUUAUUACUAUUAUUAUUACUACUAUUACUAUUAUUACAUUAUUAUUAUUUUGCUCUUUAGGGCUACACCCAGAGCAUAUGGAAGU
Long non-coding RNA from Sus scrofa (pig), 2325 nucleotides. RefSeq lists it as uncharacterized. NCBI's taxonomy places the organism in Eukaryota, Metazoa, Chordata, Mammalia, Artiodactyla, Suidae. The record is from RefSeq and is a predicted model, not a curated record.